UACAGAGGGUGCAAGCGUUAAUCGGAAUUACUGGGCGUAAAGCGUGCGCAGACGGUCUCGUAAGUCGGGUGUGAAAUCCCCGGGCUCAACCUGGGAAUUGCAUUCGAAACUGCGAGGCUAGGGUUCGGAAGAGGGAAGCGGAAUUUCUGGUGUAGCGGUGAAAUGCGCAGAUAUCAGGAAGAACACCCGUGGCGAAGGCGGUUCUCUGGGACGGUACUGACGCUGAGACGCGAAAGCGUGGGGAGCGAACAGG
RNAcentral lists this ribosomal RNA (253 nucleotides) under uncultured bacterium. RNAcentral's name for it is "partial 16S ribosomal RNA". It matches the Rfam family "Bacterial small subunit ribosomal RNA", at positions 524 to 776 of the family's 1533-position model. The record is from RNAcentral.